This is a long non-coding RNA of Rhea pennata, 263 nucleotides long. RefSeq lists it as uncharacterized. NCBI's taxonomy places the organism in Eukaryota, Metazoa, Chordata, Aves, Rheiformes, Rheidae. The transcript is spliced from 3 exons. The record is from RefSeq and is a predicted model, not a curated record.
UGCAGGUUUUGCAGAAAGCUGUGGAGAGAAGUUGAGUGCUGGCAAGAGCCUGAGCAGAUGCUGCGGGUGGCCCAUCCAGCCGCAGUGUUGGGGUUUGGAAGUGUUGUAGUGAAGGUGCCGGAGGCAAACGCGGCGAUCGAAGGAAGACUGGAGAGGAUGUGGCUGCCGUCGCGGGUGCCUCCUGAGGACAAAUGGUGACCCGCAGGCUCUGCACUCUAAAAGCUAAGCUGAAGGGCAAAGGGUGUUGGGGUGUGUUGGCUCAG